This is a long non-coding RNA of Cyprinus carpio carpio, 2945 nucleotides long. The record is from Ensembl. NCBI's taxonomy places the organism in Eukaryota, Metazoa, Chordata, Actinopteri, Cypriniformes, Cyprinidae.
AUAUAUAUAUAUAUGGGUGUGUGAGAGAGGAAGGGAGCUGAAAUAUCCAGGGCUCCACUCCACUUUUCUCCUUUGGACACUUUAUUCCCUGUUUUUGUUACUUUUCUGUUAAUAAAAGCCUCUCCGAGGCCUGACGCCACACCCACUGUGUCUGUCGUUUUUAUAUGAAAAAUAUCCAUAUUUACUAUGUCCCGGGUGGAUGAUGUAGGAUGUAGGAUGUAUCGCAUGUGCCUGUGAGAUAUGCUAGUCUCACGAGUUUGUUAGCAUCCGCCUGGAAUGGCCUCCGCAUACAACAGUUAGCUGAAGUUAGAGAAAAGUGUUUAUAACAUUUUAAAUAUGGAUAUUUUUCUUACAAAAACACAUCGAUUCACUACAGGGGGCCCUUAUUCACCCCCGAAGCCGUGUGAGCCAUGUUUUAUUAUGGAUGGAUGCGCUUCAUUUGAAUAAUUUUGGACUGUUGAAAAAAAAGAAGAAGAAAAAAAAAACUUGCCCACUGCCAUUUAAAAGCUUGGAAGGGCAAUGACAAUUUUUUACUAUAUAACUCUGACUGGAUUUGUCUGAAAGAAGUAAGUCAUCUAGACCUAGAAUGGCUUGAGGGUGAGUAAACCAUGGGCUAAUUUUCAUUUUUGGGUGACCUAACCCUUUAAACGAAAGUGCUUAUCUAAUUACUAAUUUUCACAGAUGGCUGGCUAUAGUGUGUUUUAUUUUUUUGGUGCUUAAAAAAAAAUUGCAUUUUGACUGUUAUCCACAAGAUGACAAGUGCUAAAUGAGAGCAGGACCAUUUAUUUGGAUAUAUAUUAUUUACAUAAACAUUUAUUUAUUUAUGUAAUAUUUAAGGGUGGAUAAAUGGUGUAAAAGACAAAUGAAGAAAAUGCAGACUUCAAAGAAUAUCUCCUUUGUGACAAAACAAAUCCCACUGGCAAAACAUCUAAAUUAGGAGCAGGACAGCACCAAUCCAAUCUGUUACUGGUUAUUUAUUUUUCCUUUUAUCAAAAGCUUUUGUAUUAUGCAUGAACUCCCUCAGGAGUUGGACCAAUUCAAGACGAAGACAAAAGCUUGUAUUGUGCCCUGCAAGAACAAUGAGGGUUUUCACCUUUAGACAAGAAUAUGUAUCAACUCUCUUGCGCUGUUUAUCAAUCCAAUUAAAGUAAUGACCAUGAGAAUGGGAGAGCCAAAUCUCCACAGAACAAACUGUUUUCAAUCACAAUCAAACAAGCCUGUAAUUUUUCUUUUUCUUUUUUUUUUUUUUUUUGUAACCCUGCCAUUGGAAGUCUCUUUGGAAAAGUGACACCAUUUCUUUAUUGUCUCUAGUAGGUCAGUGGAUUCUUCUCUGUUCAGGAUUAUUUGCUGCUGAAUCUGACACAAGCCGCCACUGCAAUGGGGGCAAAUCACACAUGGAUUGCCUUAGUAUUUCUGACAAAUAUUUUAUAAUCUCUCUCCUCCUAUUCAUCACAUCCUUGCAGGAAAUUGCCUUUUUCUUCUUUGGCCAGUGUGGGUUUGAUAAGGGACAUAGAUUUUUUCAUCCUUCAGCAUUUAUCCAUAGAAACUUCAGUUAUCUAAAUGUAAGAUGUUUAUGAGCUGUUUUUUUCAAGUCUUGCCACUAUUAAUUUUUUCCAAGUCUUGCCACUUUCCCUGCCACACUGUUCAAAAUAUUUUUGAUCAUGCAACAGAAUAAAUAGAUUCAUCUGCAGUUUUCUUAUAUUUAUACUGUAUACUUAGCCAGAAUGUAUAGCACGAUUAAUCUAAGGUUAUCAGAUCCACAAGAUGUGUAUGGCUGUGGAUUACACCAUUUAUUUCAAGGCUACUUAUGUAAAUAUGUCAUUUCUAUUUUUUUUUUUUUUUUUUGUGAAAGUUGAAAUUAUGUGAAAAGAAAAAGACUGCAAAGUAAUGUUAGGGACAUAAAACUAUACUGCAAUUGAUUGUACAAUUCAGGGGUCAUUUAAUCAUUAGUUUAACCAGUUCAUCGAAAAACACUGGUUCCUUCAGGAACAAAACAAGUGAUUCUAGUUUACUAAUGUGCUCCCUCAUUUUAAUUAAAUCACGGCCUCGAUUUACUAAUUCUCUUCCUUGUAAACAAAUGACAAUGUGGCCAUGAUUUACUAAUUUGUUCUGGCAAUUUAAUAAAUCAUGGACAUUAUUUAAAUAAACUGAGGAGUGUUAUUCCAAAUUCAGCCACUGUCUUUACUGGGAGAGUCACUGAGUGAUUGUUCUAAUUAAUAAAACAGCAUUGAUUAAUUCAGGAAAGACACAAGUGAAUGCAUGAGUAAAUCACUGAAUCAUUCCCUCAACCAAACUGAUUCAUUUAAAAACACUGAUACAUUCAGCAACACCCACUGUGUGUUGAUUGGAGAUGGUUAAUAAUAGUUUGGGUUUGUUUGGAGCUAUUUUCGGUGGCAAGGCAAAAACAGACAUAACAACUGGCAAUAUUAUGUCUAAAAUGUAUAUUACCGAAAUGAACUUGUUUAUUGGAUUAGUGAAAUAUAAACUUGCAAUCAAGCUGUUGGUCAGAAUAUCAUCAACAUCACUUUUGCUACCACUCCAUCAGUACAUACCCCCAUUAAAAGGGGUGUCCCCAUAUUUUAAUUCUCUUUUUAUAUUCUGUUAUGGAUAUACAUUGUCUUUACCUGCAGGACACAAGCUGCACAUGCAAUAAAAGGUGCAUUUGCUAACAAAACAUUGAAGACAUUUUGUCCAUUUCAUUUCCUGAAGAGGACUGUAUGAGAAAUAUCAACCUUAUCCAGUGCUCUUUUUGUCGUCUGUCUUAUAAAGAAUCACAUUACUAUUUAACUGUGAGAAACUGCUGCAAAUAUUCAUUACGUGAGUGAACUGUCCAAAUCAAACUGAAUCGCGAACAAUUUCAGACCUUUUUGCAAAGCCACUUGACCAAUUACAUCAAAAGAGUGAUCAAAUCAUUCACACAUCUGUUAGUUCUGAUAGAAAACACA